GACGAACGCUGGCGGCAUGCCUAACACAUGCAAGUCGAACGGAGUUCCUUUGAUGGAGUCUUUCGGGAUGAAAUUGAUGGAACUUAGUGGCGGACGGGUGAGUAACGCGUGGAUAACCUGCCCUUUUGUGGGGAACAACCUCGAGAAAUCGAAGCUAAUACCGCAUACGCUUGAGAAAUCACAUGAUUUUUCAAGGAAAGAUGGCCUCUGAAAAUGCUAUCGCAAAAGGAUGGAUCCGCGUCUGAUUAGCUAGUUGGUAGGGUAAUGGCCUACCAAGGCGACGAUCAGUAGCCGGCCUGAGAGGGUGAACGGCCACAUUGGGACUGAGACACGGCCCAG
This 339-nucleotide ribosomal RNA is filed under the name uncultured bacterium. Its description in RNAcentral is "bacterial SSU rRNA". It matches the Rfam family "Bacterial small subunit ribosomal RNA", at positions 28 to 334 of the family's 1533-position model. The record is from RNAcentral.